This 306-nucleotide ribosomal RNA is filed under the name uncultured Spirochaeta sp. Its description in RNAcentral is "bacterial SSU rRNA". It matches the Rfam family "Bacterial small subunit ribosomal RNA", at positions 1077 to 1382 of the family's 1533-position model. The record is from RNAcentral. Lineage: Bacteria; Pseudomonadati; Spirochaetota; Spirochaetia; Spirochaetales; Spirochaetaceae.
GGGUUAAGUCCCGCAACGAGCGCAACCCCUCGCUGUCUGUUGCCACCACGAGAGGUGGGGACUCAGGCGGAACUGCCGGUGACAAACCGGAGGAAGGUGGGGACGACGUCAAGUCAUCAUGGCCCUUAUGUCCUGGGCUACACACGUGCUACAAUGGCCGGUACAGAGCGCAGCGAGGCCGCGAGGCGGAGCGAAUCGCUUAAAGCCGGUCCCAGUACGGAUUGGAGUCUGCAACCCGACUCCAUGAAGUUGGAAUCGCUAGUAAUCGCGCAUCAGCAUGGCGCGGUGAAUACGUUCCCGGGCCUU